This 300-nucleotide unclassified non-coding RNA is filed under the name uncultured Leotiomycetes. RNAcentral's name for it is "sequence contains 5.8S rRNA gene, ITS2". The stretch from base 1 to 96 matches the Rfam family "5.8S ribosomal RNA", at positions 54 to 154 of the family's 154-position model. Lineage: Eukaryota; Fungi; Ascomycota; Leotiomycetes. The record is from RNAcentral.
GGCGGCAGAUGUGUAUAAGAGACAGGUGAGUCAUCGAAUCUUUGAACGCACAUUGCGCCCUCUGGUAUUCCGGGGGGCAUGCCUGUUCGAGCGUCAUUACAACCCUCAAGCUCUGCUUGGUAUUGGGCGUCACCACUCCGGUGCGCCUCAAAAACAGUGGCGGUGCCGUCUGGCUUCAAGCGUAGUAAUUUCUCUCGCUCCGGAGUCCAGGCGAGUGCUCGCCAGAACCCCCAGUCUAUAAGGUUGACCUCGGAUCAGGUAGGGAUACCCGCUGAACUUAAGCAUAUCAAUAAGCGGAGG